Molecule: long non-coding RNA, 412 nt
Filed under: Homo sapiens (human)
Lineage: Eukaryota; Metazoa; Chordata; Mammalia; Primates; Hominidae
Description: non-protein coding lnc-ZIC5-7:1
Source: RNAcentral
UGGGCACCCCUCAUCGCCCCAGUGAGUUGAUUCUAGGAGUCAGAGGAGAAACAAUGACCAUCAGGCGAAGAGUCUCACAAAGUCAAACGCAGGAUUUCCCUGAUACCCAUCAGGGCACUUUCCCAUAAGAGACAGCUGCGCUCAGGCUUACUCCAGGCUUUACUUUAAAACCUACUAGAAUAAUAGUAGGAAAAACAAGGAAGAAUGGGUGAAAGGAAACAGCCUAUUUAUUUCCUCAAAUCCUUUCAGCUUCGCUUCACCUUAGAGAACAAUGAGGCUUAUUAAAUAGGGCCAGCAGCAAUCUUGUGUAAUUGUUCAGCCAUCUUCUCUGUUGACUCCUCAGCCUAUUCUGCGACCCUCAAGUUACCCACAGCUUGGCUAAAAUAAAAGACUUCUUCUUGCAGGUUUCUCA